AGCUCCAAUCGCGUAUAUCAAAGUUGUUAUAUCCAAACACACUCGUAGUUGGAUUUCUGCCGAGGACGACCGGUCCAGUAUCUGGCUUGGCCUUGGCAUCUUCUCGGAGAACAUAACUGCACUUGAAUGUGUGGUGUGGAAUCCAGGAUGUUUUGUUUUGAGGAAAUUAGAAUAAUUCAACCAGGCACGCGCCUUGAAUACAUUUGCAUAGAAUUGUAAGAUUACCUUGGUUCUAUUUUGUUGGUUUCUAGAGCUGUGGUAAUGAUUAAUGCGGAUAAGCUGGGGCAUUCGUAUUUCAUCGUUUGAUGUGAGACUCUUGGACUUGUCAAAGAGGGACGGCUGCGAAAGUAUUUGCCAAGGAUGUUGUCA
Molecule: ribosomal RNA, 369 nt
Filed under: uncultured eukaryote
Lineage: Eukaryota
Description: SSU rRNA
Rfam family: Eukaryotic small subunit ribosomal RNA
Source: RNAcentral